This is a regulatory RNA element of Pseudomonas fluorescens HK44, 143 nucleotides long. It matches the Rfam family "radC RNA". The record is from Rfam. Lineage: Bacteria; Pseudomonadati; Pseudomonadota; Gammaproteobacteria; Pseudomonadales; Pseudomonadaceae.
ACCAAGCCCUGAGGAUCGCUGUCGUUGACAGCACCAGCCCAGGUAGCCCGAACCUUCAAGGCUACGCCACUGCGUGGUGGUUCUCCCUAAGUGCGAUCAGCAUCCGGUGGCUCGCACGGUCACAACGCCGUUGUGAUGGAUGC